GAUGAACGCUUGCGGCUUUCCUAAUACAUGCAAGUCGAGCGAACGGACGAGAAGCUUGCUUUUCUGAUGUUAGCGGCGGACGGGUGAGUAACACGUGGAUAACCUACCUAUAAGACUGGGAUAACUUCGGGAAACCGGAGCUAAUACCGGAUAAUAUUUUGAACCGCAUGGUUCAAAAGUGAAAGACGGUCUUGCUGUCACUUAUAGAUGGAUCCGCGCUGCAUUAGCUAGUUGGUAAGGUAACGGCUUACCAAGGCAACGAUGCAUAGCCGACCUGAGAGGGUGAUAGGCCACACUGGAACUGAGACACGGUCCAGACUCCUACGGGAGGCAGCAGUAGGGAAUCUUCCGCAAUGGGCGAAAGCCUGACGGAGCAACGCCGCGUGAGUGAUGAAGGUCUUCGGAUCGUAAAACUCUGUUAUUAGGGAAGAACAUAUGUGUAAGUAACUGUGCACAUCUUGACGGUACCUAAUCAGAAAGCCACGGCUAACUACGUG
Molecule: ribosomal RNA, 497 nt
Filed under: uncultured bacterium
Lineage: Bacteria
Description: partial 16S ribosomal RNA
Rfam family: Bacterial small subunit ribosomal RNA
Source: RNAcentral